UACGGAGGGAGCUAGCGUUGUUCGGAAUUACUGGGCGUAAAGCGCGCGUAGGCGGCUUUGUAAGUUAGAGGUGAAAGCCCGGAGCUCAGCUCCGGAACUGCCUUUAAAACUGCAUCGCUUGAAUCCAGGAGAGGUGAGUGGAAUUCCGAGUGUAGAGGUGAAAUUCGUAGAUAUUCGGAAGAACACCAGUGGCGAAGGCGGCUCACUGGACUGGUAUUGACGCUGAGGUGCGAAAGCGUGGGGAGCAAACAGG
RNAcentral lists this ribosomal RNA (253 nucleotides) under uncultured bacterium. Its description in RNAcentral is "partial 16S ribosomal RNA". It matches the Rfam family "Bacterial small subunit ribosomal RNA", at positions 524 to 776 of the family's 1533-position model. The record is from RNAcentral.